GAAGAGGAAACUUAAAAACAGAAGGGUAUUCAUUCCACCUCAAGUGAAAACAGCUAAGAAAAUAUCAUGCAAAUGGAGACAGCAUACAUAAAGUUAUCAGGAAGAACACACUUUCUAAAGAGCUUUCAAUUUUUAAAGAAGAAACAAACAAAACACCUGCCAAAAGAGUCAAUACUCAUUAACACAAGAAAUGUUUCACUGAAAAUCCCAUUUGCCCGCUUCCUCCGUAAAGGCCAGCAAUAAUACCAACUGAGGAGGAUGUCAGAUAUCACAGAACACUUAGAAUGAAAUGACUGCAAGCGCGUGAGUGGGUGGGAGACUCGGGAACCGCAAACCCCGCCCCCAAAGCAGCCCUUCCAAGUUGCGGUCUAAAAUGAAAUUUAAACGCCACAUAGUCAAACCAAGUGACUAAAAGAAGAAGAAACCAGAAUCAGAACCCCUGUGGCUUCUUGUUUUAAUUUCAAGUCGUCCCUUCAACUUUAUUCAGCGAAAAUAAAAGGAACGAGGGGAAGAGUUUUAGGCUCUCU
Molecule: long non-coding RNA, 527 nt
Filed under: Pogona vitticeps (central bearded dragon)
Lineage: Eukaryota; Metazoa; Chordata; Lepidosauria; Squamata; Agamidae
Description: lncRNA (ENSPVIG00000014522.1)
Source: RNAcentral